This is a long non-coding RNA of Malus domestica (apple), 1141 nucleotides long. RefSeq lists it as uncharacterized. The record is from RefSeq and is a predicted model, not a curated record. Lineage: Eukaryota; Viridiplantae; Streptophyta; Magnoliopsida; Rosales; Rosaceae.
UUACCAGUGGUUGCCUCAUCAUGUCCUUCCAAAUAAAAAUACAAAUUGGGAAAAAAAAAUAAUUCAUAAGGAUGCCUGAUCCUUCCUUAUAAAUAAAACCUUUGAGUUCAAACCUUCUAGCUCAAGUUUUUUAGUCAUGAGAAUUCAUAAACUCUCUCCUAUCAUUUUGUUCCUUGUUGUAAUUAUAGCACUGGUUCAUGUUUCGAGUUGCCGUCGCAUCACUUGGUCCUGGCAUGGCAGCGAAGAUCCGGAACCAAGACUAAGAGCCAAGUUUUCGUCUCUCUUUGCGCGGCGCCUUGGUGCCGGUUCUCAUUCUUCUGCAGGAUUUGGAUACAAGAAGAUGAACGGAAUAAACGUUGUUGCGCACAAAGCUGUCCCUGGUGGGCCAAAUCCACUUCACAACUGAGCCAAUUUUAUCUCACACAUCAUACACUCGGUUCUUGGAAAGAACAAGAAGGAAAAGGUCGAAAAUCUGCUUCCCUGCUCAAGAUUUUGAAGAAAUUUUCUUUCUCUUCUGUUCUUUCAUUGAACCGAGCGAUUAGCAGUUGAAUUUGUUGCGUAAUCGUGUCAUAAUUUUGUAAAUCGAAGAUGUAAAGUAGUUGAUACCUUUUUCGAAUAUCCAGUGAUUUUGUUUGCAUCAUACUCAAUGCAUAUAUAGAUCAGAAAUCAAGCUUGAGUACAUCCAGUGUUUAGCUUGCACAACAUGAUGAUCUUCGGAACUAAUCAACGCAGAACCACUCUGGUAAAUCAAAGUUGAAAGUCACCUGAUUGCCGAUGCUCUUAGUCCUUAUGUCGUCCACAUGUUAAACUUGAAAAAUUCACCACACAUGAAGGGGCGUGCUGAGGAUGAAUCCCACAUUAAUAAGAAGAGGGACCUUGCAUGAACUUAUAAGAGGUUGUGUUACUUCCCAUAUUGCCAAUUCGUUUUACAGUUAAUUAGAAUUAGAUGUCUCAUUUUAGAUUUUUCUAAAUUAAACAUCUGUUACCUUUCAACUUUUGAUUAAAGUACUUUUACUUUUAAUUAAACUUUAUAUUCCAUGUAUAUUCUUAAUUUAAGUACUUUAUAAAUUCUUUUAAAUCCAUUUCUAUGUAAAAAAAUGCACUCAAUAAUAUUCAUUAAUUUAUUGCUAUUUUUAUGGAA